GAUGAAGAACGCAGCGAAAUGCGAUAAGUAGUGUGAAUUGCAGAAUUCAGUGAAUCAUCGAAUCUUUGAACGCACAUUGCGCCCCUUGGUAUUCCAUGGGGCAUGCCUGUUCGAGCGUCAUUUGUACCUUCAAGCUUUGCUUGGUGUUGGGUGUUUGUCCUGAGGGACUCGCCUUAAAGUAAUUGGCAGCCAGUGUUUGGUUUUGAAGCGCAGCACAAGUCGCGAUUCAAGGCUAUCCGCCCGCUUCCACAAGCCUUUUUCACUUUUGACCUCGGAUCAGGUAGGGAUACCCGCUGAACUUAAGCAUAUCAAUAAGCGGAGGA
Molecule: unclassified non-coding RNA, 323 nt
Filed under: soil metagenome
Description: partial contains 5.8S ribosomal RNA, internal transcribed spacer 2, and large subunit ribosomal RNA
Rfam family: 5.8S ribosomal RNA (bases 1-120)
Source: RNAcentral